UGGGGAAUAUUGCACAAUGGGCGAAAGCCUGAUGCAGCAACGCCGCGUGAGCGAUGAAGGCCUUUGGGUCGUAAAGCUCUGUCCUUGGGGAAGAAUAAAUGACGGUACCCUUGGAGGAAGCCCCGGCUAACUACGUGCCAGCAGCCGCGGUAAUACGUAGGGGGCAAGCGUUAUCCGGACGUAUUGGGCGUAAAGAGUGCGUAGGGGGUUUUGUAAGCGCGGGGUGAAAGGCAAUGGCUCAACUAUUGUAAGCCCUGCGAACUGCAAGACUUGAGUGCAGGAGAGGAAAGUGGAAUUCCUAGUGUAGCGGUGAAAUGCAUAGAUAUUAGGAGGAACACCAGUGGCGAAGGCGACUUUCUGGACUGUAACUGACACUGAGGCACGAAAGCGUGGGGAGCAAACA
This 403-nucleotide ribosomal RNA is filed under the name uncultured prokaryote. RNAcentral describes it as "bacterial SSU rRNA". It matches the Rfam family "Bacterial small subunit ribosomal RNA", at positions 355 to 774 of the family's 1533-position model. The record is from RNAcentral.